Molecule: ribosomal RNA, 468 nt
Filed under: uncultured bacterium
Lineage: Bacteria
Description: partial 16S ribosomal RNA
Rfam family: Bacterial small subunit ribosomal RNA
Source: RNAcentral
GAUGAACGCUGGCGGCGCGCUUAACACAUGCAAGUCGAACGGAAAGGCCAGUGCUUGCCCUGGUACUCGAGUGGCGAACGGGUGAGUAACACGUGGGUGAUCUGCCCUGCACUUCGGGAUAAGCCUGGGAAACUGGGUCUAAUACCGGAUAGGACAAUGGUUUGGAUGCCGUUGUGGAAAGUUUUUUCGGUGUGGGAUGAGCUCGCGGCCUAUCAGCUUGUUGGUGGGGUAAUGGCCUACCAAGGCGUCGACGGGUAGCCGGCCUGAGAGGGUGUACGGCCACAUUGGGACUGAGAUACGGCCCAGACUCCUACGGGAGGCAGCAGUGGGGAAUAUUGCACAAUGGGCGCAAGCCUGAUGCAGCGACGCCGCGUGGGGGAUGACGGCCUUCGGGUUGUAAACUCCUUUCGCUAGGGACGAAGCGUAUUUGUGACGGUACCUGGAGAAGAAGCACCGGCUAACUACGUG